CAAUAGCGUAUAUUUAAGUUGUUGCAGUUAAAAAGCUCGUAGUUGGAUUUCGGUUAAGAGCGACCGGUCCGCCGUUUGGUGUGCACUGGUUGGUUUUAACUUCCUGUAGAGGACGUGCUCUGGGUUUAACGACCUGGACUCGGAGUCUACGUGGUUACUUUGAAAAAAUUAGAGUGUUCAAAGCGGGCUUACGCUUGAAUAUUUCAGCAUGGAAUAACACUAUAGGACUCCUGUCCUAUUUCGUUGGUCUCGGGACGGGAGUAAUGAUUAAGAGGAACAGUUGGGGGCAUUCGGAUUUCAUUGUCAGAGGUGAAAUUCUUGGAUUUAUGAAAGACGAACUUCUGCGAAAGCAUUUGCCAAGGAUGUUUUCAUUAA
Molecule: ribosomal RNA, 375 nt
Filed under: uncultured eukaryote
Lineage: Eukaryota
Description: partial 18S ribosomal RNA
Rfam family: Eukaryotic small subunit ribosomal RNA
Source: RNAcentral